This 460-nucleotide long non-coding RNA is filed under the name Pan troglodytes (chimpanzee). Its description in RNAcentral is "long non-coding RNA NONPTRT013426". Lineage: Eukaryota; Metazoa; Chordata; Mammalia; Primates; Hominidae. The record is from RNAcentral.
AUCAGUUGAACAAGCCCAACAUUAAAUCAAUAUUCUCCUCCUUUCACCAAACAAGUUCUAUGCCCAGAUUGAUUUGUAGGGAUAUCAGCAUUGCUACAUUCUCUCAUUCACACUGUAGAAAUGUAUCUUCUAAUCUCAUGCGAAAUGUUAAAUUCUUCUUGGGAACACAGUUACUUUGUGUAUCUGCUACAGUCACAAAAUUAAAAGUGUUUGAGAAUCUGAUAGGACAAAUUCAUGUGAUGUACAUUGUAGGUUAGUGAAGCAGAUUGAAUAAAAUAUGUUAUAUGAGUUUUGUAGUUAUUUGACUAACAUAUUUCUUAUGUAACCUGUGCUUCAAGAUUGACUGAAAGAAAUUGUGUCUAAAAAAAGAAUAUAUACAACAAACCCCUAGAGAAGUGAAAUCUUCCUUUCUUUCUGUCUCUUUAAGCUUUGUUGAUUAAAACAUGGCUGCCUUUUCUGA